Molecule: small nuclear RNA, 114 nt
Organism: Balaenoptera musculus (blue whale)
Lineage: Eukaryota; Metazoa; Chordata; Mammalia; Artiodactyla; Balaenopteridae
Source: Ensembl
GUGCUUGCUUCGGCAGCACAUAUGCUAAAAUUGGAAUGAUACAGAGAAGAUUAGCAUGGCCCCUAAUCCUUGCGCAAGGAUGACAUGCAAAUUCGUGAAGCGUUCCGUAUUUUU